AAAAAAACAAACAUUUCAGUUGUUAGUUCCAUAAAAUCCUGAUAUUUACCUACUAUCGUAUAAAUUGUCAUGCUCGUUAACAAAUGGUUUGAAUAACCGGGUUAAUUAUCCGGAAUUCGAUAUUUCAUUCAGCCAGGUAAAAAUGGUGGAUAGGGGUUACCUGAGAAUAUAAAUAACAACUAAACCAUGUUUAUAAAUAUCCCGAGAAAAUAAAAACGUGUAUGGAUGAAUACAUGUAUGGACAGUAAUUAAAUUAUCAAGUGUGGUCAAGUAAAUAGGUCAAUAGUAAAGUACGAACUUUUGAUUUCCUUGAAAAUAUUCCCAAAAGACAAACUUACCUGUUUCCUACAAUUUUUUAAAGGUAAAAGAUAUAAUGAUUAAUACCACACAUCGGAUUAACUAUGUUUAUCAGAUUUUGAUUGGUCUAGCAAGUCUCGCCUCAUGAAUGAACCCCAAGCUAGAUCAAACUAAGCUCAUCGUAUGUCCCUGUUAGGGUUAAAAUGACGAACAAAUCACUGUAAACUAUGAUCAUUUAUUCACAGGGCAGUAGAGAGACAUAUUCCUUUAAAAGUGAAAUUUGCAGUUGAAAACAUUAGAAAAACGUAAAGGAAAAACAUCCGACUAUCCCUUAUUAAAGUCCAUGCCCUCUCAUGCAGCGCUCCCGUUUUUCGAAUAUUUUAAAAUUUCAUAUAAAUUGUCGCCA
This 703-nucleotide long non-coding RNA is filed under the name Mytilus galloprovincialis (Mediterranean mussel). The record is from RNAcentral. Lineage: Eukaryota; Metazoa; Mollusca; Bivalvia; Mytilida; Mytilidae.